UGUAAUGACAGUCACUAUAUUUCUUAGCUCCAUUCCAAAAUAUUAAUUGGGGAGCUGCUCAUUUAUAAUAGUGCCAAACUUCUGACAGACAGAAAUUAUAAAAGAGGCCCCAGAAAAGCAUCAGAAAAAAAGGGAAACUUUUAAACAGAAAUGGUAAUUUGAAAUACUAACCCUAGGUUUAAAAUUUAGAAAAGGCCUGUUUUCUGGAGCAGUCAUCUGGACGGUCCAACAGCUCCCUCUACUCCUCCAAGAGGGAAAUAUGAAACACAGCAGGGCUAUGUGGAUGUGUGAGCAGCCCAGGCUUGGGGACAGCCACGUGUUUCCUUGUUCCAGCCAGGAGCUCCAAAAUGGCCUUCAGCCAUCGGUCCUGUUAAAUAACAUAACUCACCUAAAGCAGAGAAUCCAUGGACCAAGUAGAAGUAAAUUGCUGACCCAGUUAAAAUCUACGGAGAAUGUGUUCUAUGGCAUAUCCACCAGUAUACCUUCAAAAGGAAAGAGGUUAUGUCCAAGCGAAGAUGAGGAAUAUCUGAGGUGAAACUU
This 540-nucleotide long non-coding RNA is filed under the name Pongo abelii (Sumatran orangutan). Its description in RNAcentral is "lincRNA". The record is from RNAcentral. Lineage: Eukaryota; Metazoa; Chordata; Mammalia; Primates; Hominidae.